RNAcentral lists this ribosomal RNA (507 nucleotides) under uncultured bacterium. RNAcentral's name for it is "bacterial SSU rRNA". It matches the Rfam family "Bacterial small subunit ribosomal RNA", at positions 1 to 525 of the family's 1533-position model. The record is from RNAcentral.
UUAGAGUUUGAUCCUGGCUCAGGACGAACGCUGGCGGCGUGCUUAACACAUGCAAGUCGAGCGAGGCCCUCUCUUCGGAGGGGUGUUCUAGCGGCGAACGGGUGAGUAACACGUGGGCAACCUGCCCCUGGCUCUGGGAUAACUCCAAGAAAUUGGGGCUAAUACCGGAUAUGACCGCUGACCGCAUGGUCUGGUGGUGGAAAGAUUUAUCGGCUGGGGAUGGGCCCGCGGCCUAUCAGCUUGUUGGUGGGGUAGUGGCCUACCAAGGCGACGACGGGUAGCCGGCCUGAGAGGGUGACCGGCCACACUGGGACUGAGACACGGCCCAGACUCCUACGGGAGGCAGCAGUGGGGAAUAUUGCGCAAUGGGCGAAAGCCUGACGCAGCGACGCCGCGUGGGGGAUGACGGCCUUCGGGUUGUAAACCUCUUUCAGCAGGGACGAAGCGAAAGUGACGGUACCUGCAGAAGAAGCACCGGCCAACUACGUGCCAGCAGCCGCGGUACGC